This 504-nucleotide ribosomal RNA is filed under the name uncultured bacterium. Its description in RNAcentral is "partial 16S ribosomal RNA". It matches the Rfam family "Bacterial small subunit ribosomal RNA", at positions 28 to 507 of the family's 1533-position model. The record is from RNAcentral.
GACGAACGCUGGCGGCGUGCCUAAUACAUGCAAGUCGAACGCACAGUUUAUACCGUAGCUUGCUACACCAUAGACUGUGAGUUGCGAACGGGUGAGUAACGCGUAGGUAACCUGCCUGGUAGCGGGGGAUAACUAUUGGAAACGAUAGCUAAUACCGCAUAAUAUUAAUUAUUGCAUGAUAAUUGAUUGAAAGAUGCAACUGCAUCACUACCAGAUGGACCUGCGUUGUAUUAGCUAGUAGGUGAGGUAACGGCUCACCUAGGCGACGAUACAUAGCCGAGCUGAGAGGGUGAUCGGCCACACUGGGACUGAGACACGGCCCAGACUCCUACGGGAGGCAGCAGUAGGGAAUCUUCGGCAAUGGGCGAAAGUCUGACCGAGCAACGCCGCGUGAGUGAAGAAGGUUUUCGGAUCGUAAAGCUCUGUUGUAAGAGAGAACGGGUGUGAGAGUGGAAAGUUCACACUGUGACGGUAUCUUACCAGAAAGGGACGGCUAACUACGUG